CUACGGGCGGCUGCAGUGAGGAAUAUUGCACAAUGGGGGAAACCCUGAUGCAGCAACGCCGCGUGGAGGAUGACGCAUUUCGGUGUGUAAACUCCUUUUAUCAGAGAAGAAAAUGACGGUAUCUGAUGAAUAAGCUCCGGCUAACUCCGUGCCAGCAGCCGCGGUAAUACGGAGGGAGCAAGCGUUAUUCGGAAUCACUGGGCGUAAAGGACGCGUAGGCGGGUUUUUAAGUCAGGUGUGAAAUCCUACAGCUCAACUGUAGAACUGCACUUGAAACUGGGAACCUAGAGUAUGGAAGGGGCAGGUGGAAUUAGUGGUGUAGGGGUAAAAUCCGUAGAUAUCACUAGGAAUACCGAAAGCGAAGGCGACCUGCUGGGACAUAACUGACGCUGAGGCGUGAAAGCGUGGGGAGCAAACAGGAUUAGAUACCCUCGUAGUC
This 439-nucleotide ribosomal RNA is filed under the name uncultured bacterium. Its description in RNAcentral is "partial 16S ribosomal RNA". It matches the Rfam family "Bacterial small subunit ribosomal RNA", at positions 339 to 795 of the family's 1533-position model. The record is from RNAcentral.